RNAcentral lists this long non-coding RNA (3068 nucleotides) under Sus scrofa (pig). RNAcentral's name for it is "lncRNA (ENSSSCG00000058798.1)". The record is from RNAcentral. Lineage: Eukaryota; Metazoa; Chordata; Mammalia; Artiodactyla; Suidae.
AAUCAGAGCCACAGCUGCUGGCCUAUACCACAGCCACAGCAACACCAGAUCACAGCCGCUCCAAGACCUAUGCUGCAACUUAUGGCAAUGCCAGAAACUUAACCUACUGAGCUAGGCCAGGGAUCAAACCCCUGCAUCCUUAUGGAUACUAGUCAGGUUCUUAAUCCACUGAGCUACAAUGGGAACUCUGCUAAAAUCUUUUUUUAAAUUAAUUAAUUUAUUUUUUUUUUAGAGCUGCACUUGAAGUAUGUGGAAGUUCCCAGGCUAGGGGUCGAAUCACAGCUGCAGCUGCUGGCCUAUGCCACAGUCAAAGCAAUGCAGGAUCUGAGAUGCAUCUGCAACCUACACAGCUCGUGGCAAAGCCAGAUCCUUAACCCACUGAGCAAGGCCAGGGAUUGAACCUGCAUCCUCAUGGAUACCAGUUGGUGGGUUUUGUUUCUUCCUUGUGUAAGGGGUCUAAGGAAAAAUGAUGAAUUUUUACAAAGUAAAAUAAAAAUGUGGAAGAGAAUUUUCCAUGAUAGCAUUGGGAUUGUUGAAUACCAGUUCUGAAAUAUAAGGCACAGAUUCUGAGUCUUCUUGUCUAACCUUUCUUGCUUAUUGGGUAAAUAUAAAAAUGAUGAAAUUCAUGACUGGAAAAUACCCUUUUAACUCUAAAGACUCUGAGAUUACUAAAAAGACUGUAAAGAAAGUAAUUUUAUUUUCCUCAUUUUGUUUUUUUCUUUUGAUUCAUUGUCUUUGAAUUUCUUUCUUUAACACCAAUCUUUUUUUUUUCUUCUUUUUUUUUUCAGGGGACAGCACGAAUGCAGUCCCCCACUACCACAAAUUAUGCAGUCGAGUUCCCACAUUUGGGGAAAUCGCAGGAGUCAGCACAUCCGGAGUGCAGUGGAUAAGCCUGGUGCUGGGAAAACCACCCUCGUGAUCAUGGUAUCUCCCCUGCCAGGUAAGUAUUUUAACACCAAUCUUAAUUCUACAUUUCAUCCUUAGAAACUAAUGGAGUUCUGGUGAUAUCAUCAAGACGUAAAAUAUGUUCCUGACUUCAGUUCCCUUCAUAGGAAGACCAGCAAUUAUUCAUAGAUAAGAUACUGUUGUAUAAAUUCUAGAACACAGGGGUGAGGUUGUAGCAUCCUCCUGGAUCGUGGAGACCAAGAAGGACAGACUUAGAAGGGUAAGAGGAAUGUCUGCAGUCUGACUGCAUCUCCCCUCCCCCAAGUUGGUACAGCAUCACACUGAGAGGCAUCCCCUGGGCCUACGACUUCCCCAGAGGGAGAAAGAGAGUCCACAGUGGACACCCAACUCUCCCAGCAUUGUGUGUCACUUCCUGGGAAGCCCGUUAAGGUCUCAUCUUAUGGGAUUGCAAGGGGAAUGCAUGGGGCUUGAGUAUUGGAGGUGAGAUUAUGAUGGAUAAAAAGGGCAGCACUUAUAGUAACCAGCACUCAGAUCUUGGCAGACUGAAUUGCUACUCAUAAGAGGGCACAGGUAGAAAUCCAAACCAGUAAUUUUCCCAUCUGCAGAGCCAAAAUGGCAGCCCAAUCUGGCCAGGAAACUCGAUGUGUGGUACUGCCUGAUUCAGAAUCCCAAGCCUUGUUUGCCUUGGAGCCUGUUCUGACACCUGCUCCAACCCAAGGCAGAGACACUAUUUCAUAGCCUUGCCUACUGCUGAGUGUAGCCCCCAUCAUUGCCUGACCAGGAAGCCUUGCCAGAGUGCCUGGAGAGCUGUAUAGACCAGAAGGGCUCAAGAAAAGGGCCUAAUUAGCAGGUCUGGCCUUCUCUAGAGCCAGGACAGUGGCUCCUCUGGACAGGUAACUCAGCAUGCAGUUCUGCCUAAACUGAGCCCUGAAACAAUAAACUUUGCUGGUCUUGUUGCCUGUUCUGCCAUGUUAUUCAGGCAGAAAGCUAAUUCAUAGCCUUGUCCACUACUGAGUAAAGCCUUCACUUCGCUAUUGAGUGACCGACCAGGAAACCUGGACAGAGCACCCAAUAAGCUGCAUGGUUCAGUGGCACUUGAGCAGAGAGUCUAGUCAGUGGCUCUGUCUUUGUGCAGAUUGAAGUUGGCAGUCCUAUUUGGCCAUAGAAUUUGCUAUUAGUUUUGCCUGAGAUGGGACCCCCCCCCCAAAAAAAUGAGCUUUAUCAGCCUUGGAGCCUAUUCCACUGCCAUCUUCCUCCCCAAUUAGGGAAACAUAGCCCCACCCACUGCUGAGGUAACAUUUUGCCUCACUCAAUUGUGGAGCCCAGCUGGAACACCUGGGAAGCUGUGUGGUCCAGUAGACUAGAACAGAGAGCUUGGCCAGUGGAUUUUCCCAGCUGCAGGGCCAAACCCUCAAUCUGGCUAAGAAGCUUCAUGUACAAUUCUGCCUGAUUUGAGACCUCAGCAAUAGCCUUGCCAACUCUGAAGCUUAUUCUUCUGCCCUGCCCAGGCAAGAAAGUUAAUUCACAGUCCUGUCUACUGCUGAGUGACACCCCAGCCCCACCUGACAGGAAACCUCACCAGACUACCUAGAAAGAGCCUUGCAGUAUUUGAGCAGAAAGCCUGGCCACCUGUAGAGCCAAGUCAGUUGAUCUGUCUGGCCAGGCAGUUGGUGUACAGCCGUACUUGGUUUAGUCCCCAAAUAAGGAGACUCCUCAGCCUUGAAGCCUGUCGUGUGGCCCAAACUAAGCAAGAAAGCUAAUCUAUAGCAUGAAAUACAGUAUUAAAAACCUACCCAACCGUAGAAGAGCAUUCAAAAAGCUAUGUAGCCCAUUCUACAGACUGCUUACAGUGGCAUGUAAGCCUAGCCAGUGGCUCUGCUUGUCUGAAGAACAAAGCCAGUUGGUCCUUCUGUCUAGGGAUCUCAGUGCACAUAUCUGCCUGCUUUGGGGCCCCCCAAAACAAGUCAUAUAAGCCUAGGGUCCAUUCUGCUACUUAAACCAGCAUUAAAGCUAAUUCACAGCAUUGCUUUCUGCUGAGUUUAGUGUCCAGUCUCUUCCUUCCAUUCAUGCCCCCCUAACUAGGAAGCAUGGUAAGAAUUUAAGAAACUGCAGAGCCCAUCCCACAGCCCUUCUUGGGCAAGCAACCAAGCCAGCAGUUCUAU